UACGAAGGGGGCUAGCGUUGCUCGGAAUCACUGGGCGUAAAGGGUGCGUAGGCGGGUCUUUAAGUCAGGGGUGAAAUCCUGGAGCUCAACUCCAGAACUGCCUUUGAUACUGAGGAUCUUGAGUUCGGGAGAGGUGAGUGGAACUGCGAGUGUAGAGGUAGAAUUCGAUAGAUAUUCGCAAGACACCAGUGGCGAAGGCGGCUCACUGGCCCGAUACGUGACGACUGAGGCAC
This 233-nucleotide ribosomal RNA is filed under the name uncultured bacterium. Its description in RNAcentral is "partial 16S ribosomal RNA". It matches the Rfam family "Bacterial small subunit ribosomal RNA", at positions 524 to 754 of the family's 1533-position model. The record is from RNAcentral.